GUGAAUCAUCGAAUUUUUGAACGCAAAUUGCACUUUCUUCGGAGAGUGUGAGUGUUUGAGGGUCAGCCUAUAAAAAAUCGACAUCGUUGCUGUUUCGCGGUGGCGUUCGUCGGAAAUUGGGUCAUCUUAAAUUUUUUGGUUUUAAGCGACUUAAAAUUUUCUUUUUGGUUCCAUGAACGUUUCUAAGAUUUAUUUAUUUACACGUUUAAGGUAUCGAUUUUUAUUAGACGUGACCAUCAUAUCGGAUCGUGUCAAUAAUUUUUUAAUUGA
Molecule: unclassified non-coding RNA, 270 nt
Filed under: Glomeraceae sp.
Lineage: Eukaryota; Fungi; Glomeromycota; Glomeromycetes; Glomerales; Glomeraceae
Description: partial contains 5.8S ribosomal RNA and internal transcribed spacer 2
Rfam family: 5.8S ribosomal RNA (bases 1-65)
Source: RNAcentral